UCCUCCUUUAUUAUUUUUUUUGUAGGGGGUCACCAUACUGGGCAUAGGAUUCUUAGGGCUUUAAAUGACGCAGACAGCAUCAUUUACAGAAUGCAGUAGACACUCUCUUUGCCAUCUCUGGACUGUUCUGGAAGCAGAGGCCCAUGAAUUGUAUUUAACCCUCAGAUGUUUGGUUUUGGCCUGCGCAGUUUUUGUGUCUUAUUUCUUGUUUAACUGCAUCUGACUCUGCGUGCCUUUAGACUGAGCGGGGCCACUGGACUUUUGCUGCACACUGUCCCCACUUCGCUUGUCUUAUUUCCGCCUGGCCCUCCUUACAUUUGAAGGUGCAGUGACCAGUCUGCCCCUGCCCCUCUCUUUUCGGAUGAGCACCCUGAGGCCUGUUCCAGA
This 387-nucleotide long non-coding RNA is filed under the name Bos taurus (domestic cattle). RNAcentral describes it as "long non-coding RNA NONBTAT008246". The record is from RNAcentral. Lineage: Eukaryota; Metazoa; Chordata; Mammalia; Artiodactyla; Bovidae.